RNAcentral lists this ribosomal RNA (82 nucleotides) under Enterocytozoon bieneusi. Its description in RNAcentral is "partial large subunit ribosomal RNA". The record is from RNAcentral. Lineage: Eukaryota; Fungi; Microsporidia; Enterocytozoonidae.
GGAGGUUGCGGUGCGAGCGGUAGUAGGGUGCCAUCAAGAGAUGUAGUUUGAAAUAUCCCUAAUACAGGAUCACUUGGAUCCG